Molecule: long non-coding RNA, 303 nt
Organism: Ictalurus furcatus (blue catfish)
Lineage: Eukaryota; Metazoa; Chordata; Actinopteri; Siluriformes; Ictaluridae
Exons: 2
Source: RefSeq, a predicted model, not a curated record
UGGACCUGUCUGUCUGCCGUGCCAGAUUGUUUGUCAGUUAGUUAAAAAGGAUUUACGUAUAUAAUUUUUUUAAUGGAUUCAUGUGUGGCAGAUACAAUGCUGCUUAUAGUCUCGUUGGGUGUGUUCUACGUAAGGAAUAUAACCCAACAUGGUGUGCUGAAAAUAAUCAACCACGGGGUGGUGUGAUGUGACUGAAUGCAAAUCAGAAUGCUGACACUCCUUCCAAAUGAACGUCUCCUUACAGAAACCUUCACCAUAUCAAUGAUUAUAUUUUUUCUUUAUUAAAUAACAACACAUUUUUAA